AUUACCUUGCAGGGUUAACUCCUCCUCUAGUGGCUGUCUACUAGACAGCCACUAGAGGGCACUUCCUGCUUCAUAGCACAGCGUCGCUGGAGGUCCUCAUGCUGUGUGAGGACCUCCAGCGUUGCUAAAAUCCCCAUAGGAAAGCAUUGAAAAUUAUUUUCAAUGCUUUCCUAUGGAGAGGUCUAAUGCGCCUGCGCGGCAUUGCCGCACAUGUGCAUUAGGUCUUCCCCGCCGGCUGAUGUGAUGAAGGGGAGGAGCGUGAGCGGAGGAAGAAGCAGCGACGUGGGA
This is a non-coding RNA of Pelobates cultripes (western spadefoot toad), 288 nucleotides long. The record is from the annotation of a GenBank genome assembly. Lineage: Eukaryota; Metazoa; Chordata; Amphibia; Anura; Pelobatidae.